AUCCAGGGAUGGGAAUCGAACCCACAGUGUUCCGCUUACCGGGCAGAUGCCAUGUCCACUAGGCUACCCUGGA
This is a non-coding RNA of Cordylochernes scorpioides, 73 nucleotides long. The record is from the annotation of a GenBank genome assembly. Lineage: Eukaryota; Metazoa; Arthropoda; Arachnida; Pseudoscorpiones; Chernetidae.